Non-coding RNA from Gossypium raimondii (Peruvian cotton), 87 nucleotides. Lineage: Eukaryota; Viridiplantae; Streptophyta; Magnoliopsida; Malvales; Malvaceae. The record is from Rfam.
CACGUCAGCGCGCUUUGUUGACGUGGACACAAAUCGCGCUCCAGAGGACGCGAUUUGUUGCCAUGUCAGCAAAGCGCACUGACGUGG